AAAGGCAGACAAAUAUGAGUGUGUACUUUGAAUUGGCAUGCGCAGCCACACUGGCUGAAGCCAUGAGAAGAUUUGAAAGAGGGGUGUGGGGGCCACCCCUUCGUUGUGAACAGUUUGAUUAGGGCCCUGGCUUUCUUUCUUUCUUUCUUUCUUUGUGAGAAGAUUUGAAAGAGGGGUGUGAACAGUUUGAUUAGGACCCUGGCUUUUUUUUUUUUUUUUUUUGCAUCUUCAUCUCUUUCCAUAUUCAUUACACUGCCUGAUCGUAGCUGAGCUAAUGCCAAAUAGCUUUCCCGUUAAUCUGAUUAAAUAAUAGCACAGGAUUGCGAUGUCAGUGCACCAGAGAUAGGGAGACAAUGUCUGUUGCAAAGCCGAAGCGGACCUGACGGGCAAGAGGCAGACCAUGAUAAGCUUGAAAUAGACCACAGCAGUGGCUGCAGAAAGGAGAGUCUCACAGAGCAAGGUUAUGGCUGCCAGUGGACUACAGAGAAAAGGACAGGAUGCUUGGCUAGAGACAUCAUGCAAGACAUGGGCCAGCACCACAUCUUUGCCCUCUGCAUUCCGAAAGGUGGCUACACGUUCUUCGAUGGAUCACAUCAAAGCCCUAAAUCAGAACACAGAUCAGUCUGUCCCAAUCACAGUGGAUUUUGUAAGACUACAAAGUUACUGUGUAAGUAUAUUUCUUCAUAACUUCAGUUGACCAUGUGAUUAGAAUGGAAUGGUGAUGAAAGCAGGCUAAGGGUCUAAUUGCAACUUUCUAGACAGCAUGCCAUUAAAAGAUGGAAGAACGUAAAGGCUGGGCGAUGUCUAUACAGCAUAGGUCUCAUAAUUAGAACGUUAUAGUAGGACCCCUGUAUAUGUGGGUUCAGUACCCACUGAUUCGCUUAUCCAUGAUCUG
This 895-nucleotide long non-coding RNA is filed under the name Pogona vitticeps (central bearded dragon). Its description in RNAcentral is "lncRNA (ENSPVIG00000009021.1)". Lineage: Eukaryota; Metazoa; Chordata; Lepidosauria; Squamata; Agamidae. The record is from RNAcentral.